Molecule: ribosomal RNA, 367 nt
Filed under: uncultured organism
Description: bacterial SSU rRNA
Rfam family: Bacterial small subunit ribosomal RNA
Source: RNAcentral
CGUAGGUGGCAAGCGUUGUCCGGAUUUAUGGGUUUAAAGGGUGCGUAGGCGGAUCCGUAAGUCAGUGGUGAAAUCUCACAGCUUAACUGUGAAACUGCCAUUGAUACUGCGGGUCUUGAGUAAGGUAGAAGUGGCUGGAAUAAGUAGUGUAGCGGUGAAAUGCAUAGAUAUUACUUAGAACACCAAUUGCGAAGGCAGGUCACUAUGUCUUAACUGACGCUGAUGGACGAAAGCGUGGGGAGCGAACAGGAUUAGAUACCCUGGUAGUCCACGCCGUAAACGAUGCUAACUCGUUUUUGGGCUUUCGGGUUCAGAGACUAAGCGAAAGUGAUAAGUUAGCCACCUGGGGAGUACGUUCGCAAGAAUG